AUGGCAAUUGUACAUACAUACGGGAAGCCUGACAUCUUCUUGACCAUGACUUGCAAUCCAAAAUGGGAAGAGAUAACGAAUGAGUUGCUGCCUGGUCAGACGGCGCAAGACCGACCUGAUAUUCUGGCUCGCGUGUUCUUUGGCAAACUAGAGGCUAUGAAGGACAUGUUGUUCAAGAAGCACAUCCUGGGUGUUGUUGUCGCAUAUGUAUAUGUUGUCGAGUUUCAAAAAAGGGGCCUCCCACACGCACAUUUUUUGUUGAUCAUGGACUCAACAUAUAAGCUUAUCGUCCCCGAGCAGUAUGACCGACUCAUUUCCGCAGAGCUCCCAGACUAG
RNAcentral lists this ribosomal RNA (336 nucleotides) under Triticum aestivum (bread wheat). RNAcentral's name for it is "partial small subunit ribosomal RNA". Lineage: Eukaryota; Viridiplantae; Streptophyta; Magnoliopsida; Poales; Poaceae. The record is from RNAcentral.